This 68-nucleotide transfer RNA is filed under the name Phasianella australis. Its description in RNAcentral is "tRNA-Ser". The record is from RNAcentral. Lineage: Eukaryota; Metazoa; Mollusca; Gastropoda; Trochida; Phasianellidae.
AGAAAGAAAAUGGCAUAAAGUAGGGCUGCUAACUUUGCUUUGGGGGGUUCGACUCCUUCCUCUUUCUU